AAGAGAGUAGCGAGUUUGCAGCAAAGGUGCUAAAUGUGUCUUUCAUAUCAUCUUCUGGGGAGAGAUGCCAUCAGUAGCUCAACCUCCACAUCCACAGGCUGGGCAUUGACUCUGAACUCAUCUCCCAGGCUCCCUCUUCAUCAAGAGAAAGAAGAAGGCAUCUCCAAAACAGAUAAAUGUGUUGCGGAUUGAAUCAGGGAGGAAUUCCAACGGAAAAGUUGACUAAAUAUUAAAAAACAUUGCUAUUUCCUGAAGUUUCUGUUGAAUUAAUUGUAACUCAGCCCUUACACUGACAAAACUAAUAGUGAAAUUGAUUUGUUUAAAAACACAUCUGCCUGGAUACAGCAUUUCUGUUAUUUUCCCUGACGCUCUGCUCUUAUCUCAGUAAAAUCUAUGUAUUGCAGUGCAGUGGCAGUAUUGCAGUCUUGUUCAAAUAAAUGUAAUAUCAUUUCUCUCUGAA
Molecule: long non-coding RNA, 460 nt
Organism: Melospiza melodia melodia
Lineage: Eukaryota; Metazoa; Chordata; Aves; Passeriformes; Passerellidae
Exons: 2
Source: RefSeq, a predicted model, not a curated record